AGCAGCCCGGCGAGUUUUUGCGACUCCUUCCGCGCCUCUUUCAGGCGGCCUCUCAACCGGCCUCAGAAGUCCGCGCUUUCGUCGACCUGUAGGGUCCUGGGCAGCUGGGACGAAGCAGCCUCAGGAUGUCGACCUUUUAUCUUUAACCGCAUUUUCAGUUUGGAAGGUGUAAAAUAGGUAUAACAUUUAAGAAAAAAAUUUGAAAGAGAUUACCAGGAAAAUUGCAAAUAGAAGAGACUGUACACAUAUCAAUGAGAAUGUCAUGAAAAUGGAAGAAAAGUUUCAAUUAACUUGUUGAAAAGCUCCAGGAAGAAAUUUAAGCUAAAUUGAAAUGAGGGAAUGAGGUCAGCAAGAUGAUGAAAUAGAAGAUUCCCUACUAUCACUCCUCCAUAAAAAUACAACUAGAAACUGCUUAAAGACAAGCAUACAACCCUGAGUUCACCACAAUUCAAGGGAGAAUUGAAGAAACCCCAGAACUGAGAGAAGCUGUAACAGUUCACAUCCUGGGGGUGGUUUGCAGUUUGGAUUGGAGCAGUACCACAGACAAGGAUCCCUGACUCUAACCUGGAAGUGAUGCUUCCCCUGGGUGUCUCUCUUUUAUGAGAUUUCACAGGGGUGGAGGAUAGGACCAAGGAGUACCAGUGUGUUAGGGUUCCUCUAGUAACAUCAGGGACACCUAUUCUUUCCACUGGAGUAGAUGACAUGAGACAUGUCAAGUUUGUACUGGAAAUAACCUCUUUUCCUGGUCUGGAUGACUAGGGUUGAAAGGUUUGGGUCAAGCAACAAGGGCAAUGGAUGUCUGCAGAGGUAGUAGCCUUAGGACAGUGACAGACAGAUGGGGUCACACCAACUCAGCCCAACCUCUGUCCUAUAGGUAGGGAACACCUGUGGCUCUGGGAGGGGAAGGGAGUAGGGGCACUAACAGUCAAUCUGCUCUUCCCAUAAGGAUGUAAGAACAGAGAACUGGAGCAUAAUGCUUUCAUUAGGCUCUGCCAAGCUGCGACCACUGCAUGUAACCUAAUGAAGUAUUGGAUCAACCAUCCUGAACCUCAUUCUGUCACAGAUCACAGAGACCCUCUUGUCCUGCAGUGGUGAACUACAACAGCAUUUCUAACACCACUUAUCUGUGAGGAAUAAAUGUCCUUCAUGUAACAACUCUUUGUGGGCAAGUGUUUGAUUUCACUGGACUCGGGCAAGUAAUAGAAAUGGGCACAGCUCAAGGUGCAGUGGAUGAGAUUUUUUGGAUUCUCUCCUGGGAUUGACACCAGUGCACAGUGAACCUCCUUCACAAGGUGUAUCAUAGCUGUAGCGUUCUACUGAAAAACUAAGAAGCAGUAACCAGCGAGUGGCCUAGAAGUAAAUUGGGUCAUAGGGAUGCAGCAAGAACUAAUAGCAGCAGGAUCUUUGCUAUUCUUGCUUAGGACCACUUAAUUCCAUGAAUUCUCUAUAAAGCACUGGCAAAACCCUGAAGACCCAUAAUGGAAGGAUGCCAUUUCUGCACUGGAGAUGUUUGCAGUUUAAUGGAGGAGACGAACAAUUUUUUUUAAAUUGCGUUUUAGGUUUUGGGGUACAUGUGAAGAACAUGCAAGAUAGUUGCAUAGGUACACACAUGGCAGUGUGAUUUGCUGCCUUCCUCCCCUUCACCUAUAUCUGGCAUUUCUCCCCAUGCUAUCUCUCCCCAACUCCCCACGAACAGAUAAUUUU
Long non-coding RNA from Callithrix jacchus (white-tufted-ear marmoset), 1704 nucleotides. RefSeq lists it as uncharacterized. Lineage: Eukaryota; Metazoa; Chordata; Mammalia; Primates; Cebidae. The record is from RefSeq and is a predicted model, not a curated record.